UAGCUGGACUCAACCCCAGCUGUGCCGAAGCUAACGCGAUAAGUACACCGCCUGGGGAGUACACUCGCAAGGGUGAAACCCAAAAGAAUUGACGGGGACCCGCACAAGCAGUGGAGCAUGUGGUUUAAUUCGAUGCAACGCGAAGAACCUUACCCAGACUUGACAUGCAAAAGACAGUGCUAGAAAUAGCAUCUUCCUUCGGGACUUUUGCACAGGUGCUGCAUGGCUGUCGUCAGCUCGUGCCGUGAGGUGUUUGGUUAAGUCCAGCAACGAGCGCAACCCUUAUCAUUAGUUGCCAACAUUUAAGGUGGGACUCUAAUGAGACUGCCCGGGUUAACCGGGAGGAAGGUGGGGAUGACGUCAGUCUCAUGGCCCUUACGGGUGGGCUACACACGUGUACAAUGGUGGACAGUGGGCAGCGAGCACGCGAGUGUGAGCUAAUCUCCAAAAGCCAUCUCAGUUCGGAUUGCACUCUGCAACUCGAGUGCAUGAAGUUGGAAUCGCUAGUAAUCGCGGAUCAGCAUGCCGCGGUGAUACGUUCCCGGGC
Molecule: ribosomal RNA, 547 nt
Filed under: uncultured bacterium
Lineage: Bacteria
Description: bacterial SSU rRNA
Rfam family: Bacterial small subunit ribosomal RNA
Source: RNAcentral